GCCUUAGUAGUAUAAAAAUUACAUUGGUCUUGUAAACCAAAAACGAGAAAUCAAUUCUCCUAAGACA
Molecule: transfer RNA, 67 nt
Filed under: Spalacopus cyanus (coruro)
Lineage: Eukaryota; Metazoa; Chordata; Mammalia; Rodentia; Octodontidae
Description: tRNA-Thr
Rfam family: tRNA
About the family: Transfer RNA (tRNA) molecules are approximately 80 nucleotides in length. Their secondary structure includes four short double-helical elements and three loops (D, anti-codon, and T loops).
Source: RNAcentral